GCAUAGGAAUCUACCUAGUAGUAUGGGAUAGCCACUAGAAAUGGUGGGUAAUACUGUAUAAUCCCUGCGGGGGAAAGAUUUAUCGCUAUUAGAUGAGCCUAUGUUAGAUUAGCUAGUUGGUAGGGUAAAGGCCUACCAAGGCGAUGAUCUAUAGCUGGUCUGAGAGGAUGAUCAGCCACACUGGAACUGAGAUACGGUCCAGACUCCUACGGGAGGCAGCAGUGGGGAAUAUUGGACAAUGGGCGCAAGCCUGAUCCAGCUAUGCCGCGUGAGUGAGGAAGGCCUUAGGGUUGUAAAACUCUUUCAGUAGGGAAGAUAAUGACGGUACCUACAGAAGAAGUCCCGGCAAACUCCGUGCCAGCAGCCGCGGUA
Molecule: ribosomal RNA, 372 nt
Filed under: Anaplasma phagocytophilum
Lineage: Bacteria; Pseudomonadati; Pseudomonadota; Alphaproteobacteria; Rickettsiales; Anaplasmataceae
Description: bacterial SSU rRNA
Rfam family: Bacterial small subunit ribosomal RNA
Source: RNAcentral